Papio anubis (olive baboon) is the source of this 4334-nucleotide long non-coding RNA. Lineage: Eukaryota; Metazoa; Chordata; Mammalia; Primates; Cercopithecidae. The record is from Ensembl.
AGAACACUGAGUAAUAUACUAAUCCUACCAACACAGAGAUAGAAUUGGAACUUUGUGGGGUUCCUUAGACUGAAGUAAGAAGUGUGGUAUCAUGUGGAUGGAUAAUCCCUGGGAUGGCGGUGCUGAUAAAGUUGAACAUAGUUGGUGAUGAACCCAAAUGCAAUAAGGGCUAGUGUGGUAGUUCUCAGGGAGAACAAGCAUCUACAAGGCACCAAUUUCAGAUGGCAUGAAAAUAAUGAGCUUCAGCCACUCCCUCCGUUCAGGGUCCCUGACUUCCCGCAACACAGAAGCUCUCUAAUACAGAAAAGGAGAAGUCACCAACAGAGAGGAGAAGAGCAUGUGAAGACAGAUGCAGAGAAUGGAAUUAUGCAGCCACAAGCCAAGGAACAUCUGGAUGCACCAGAAGCUAUUAAAAAAAAAAAAAAAAAAAAAAAAAAGAUUCUCAUCAGAGUCUUCACAGACAGUGCAGCCCUGCCAAUACCAACACUUUGGUUUCAUAUGCUUGGCCUCCAAAACUGUGAGAGAAAAAAUUUCUACUUUUGUAACCCACCUAGUUUGUGGCUCUUUGUUACAGCAGCCACAGGAAACUAAAUAUAAGCAUCAUACACUGAUUCUUAAGGGGAAGACUAAUUUCUGGAUCUCUUGAAUGUAGGAUGUAAUAACAAAUGUCAGCAGAUUUUAAAAAUAUAAAUGUAACUCUAUAUACCUGCUGAUUUUUACACCUUGAACAGUGUUGUAAGUUUUGGUUUUUCCUAUGAAUUAAAUUAUAUAUUAUAAAAUAUUUCAUGUUGUAAUGCCUGAAAUUAUAUCAAGAAUCUGCAACAUGGGGUUGAAUUAUUUCUUUUAGCACCAGUAAUGGAAUGAAUCUGCUAAUUUAGAAAUUGGGUAUAAUAACUAUUUUACUCCAUAUCUAGUGUUUUACCUUUUCUACAGUUCAACUAAGAAAUAAAUUGCUUUCUUAGUAGGCAAUGAGAUUUUUGGCUUAUCUAAGAAAAUAUAGCAGUAAAAAGGUCACAGCAAUUUGCUUUAUGGGCCACAUGUUACUGGUAAAAUGAAAUCAUUCUAGCAUAUGGCUUUUAGAGUAGAAACACACAAGCAAACAAAAAUUCUAAAUGUCAGAGCAACUUCAUUUUAGCACACACAUAUUUCCAAAAUGUACAGAGAACAAUAAUAAAAAUAAAGUUCGGAACAUAAAUUCAGUUAAGAACUAUACAUUUCCAAUUGAGAAAAAAUCAAGAGCAGACAGUUUUGCAAGAUUUCUCAAUCAGAUUUUUCAUUAUAGGAAAGCUGUUCCUUUAUAUUUUAAUACAUGUAGAUAAAAUCUUUUCACCAUAGUCACAGGAAGUUUCAAUGUAUUUACUAGUGGUAUAUUCAGUAACUGUGUUGGAGGAUGAAAAAGAAAAUAAGCUGUAGUGCUACCUUUGGCAUGGAUAAAUAAUGCCUUUUUUAUUUUCCAGUAUAUCAUGCUACUUUCUGAUUUUAUACACAUUUGAAUCAAGUUAAUAUUUUGAUUUUUCUUCCUGCCAAUUCAAUAUAUAUUAUAGUCUUUAUCUGAAUAUGGCUGAUUUUUCCCCAAAUUUGUAUAAAUGUGUUUAUAAAACUAAUUUAAGCACAUGUAACGCAAAAGGAAAGGCCCAAUAAGACAAUGUAAUGCACUUGUUCUCACUGAAAGGGAACUCUGAAGACGUGGUAAAGGAAAUAACCCUGGAAAAGAAAUGGAUAUAUGGAUUACUUUGAAGGAAUUUUUUAUUUGUUUUGCUUUAUUUUCCCCCACUAAGAUAAUCAGAAUUUUAUUUACUUUCUGAAACAAAUAUUUCUUCUCUCCAGUUUUCUUGUAUUGCUUUUUCAUUUCCAAUAUUUGUAACUUCUUUAGAUAAUUAACAAGGACCUAAACAUUUGUCUGUUCCUGCUAUAAAGAUGAGGCUGCCUGAACAGAGAGGCCAUUGAACAAAUGGAGAAAUAUGAGGUGUUAUGAAGUGAUGGCAUCCUAAGUGGUGAAGUUAUUAUAAGAACCAAUAGAAGUACCACAGUAAAGGAGAAUCAAGAUUUGCAUGAGAAGAGAGUUAGUGAUAGAAAUUCAGAAAGAGUUAAUCUGGAUUCAUUUGCCAGUCUUAAUAGGUACAAUUAAUAAUUCAUUUCUAGGUCUUUGGUAUAGUCUACUUGUUCCCAUUUUAUAAUAGAACUUUCUUUAGCAUUUUUCACUUAAUCUAUUGUGGGAAUGUUUUGGGAACACAUUUGAGCAGUGAAGAUUAAAAACCACACCACUACCCUAUAGACAUAUAAACAUGUAUUAGUUAAACUACUACUUUAGAUCAGGAGUCCGGAAAACUAAAGCUUAUAACCAAAUCCAUCCCACAGCCUGUUUUUCUUCUUUAUUGUGGUAAAAUACAUAUAAAAUUUACUAUCUUAACCAUUACUAAUUGUCCAUUGCAGUAGUAUGAAGUUGUUCACAUUGUUAUAUAAUCAUCAUCACAAUCUGUCUCCAGGACUCUUUUCAUUGCAAAAUUGAAAGUUUGGCCUAUGAAACAAAAAUGUCCCAUUUUCCCCUCCACCAGCCCUUAGCAAUCACCAUUCAAUUUUUGUCUCUCUGAAUUUGACUACCCUAGAUACUUUAGAUAAGUUGAAUUAUACAAUAUGUGUCUUCUGUGAGUAGCUUGUUUCACUUAACCUGGUGUACUUAAGGUUCAUUUAUGUUGCAGCAUGUGUCGGAAUUCCUUCCCUUUUUAAGGUUUGAUAAUAUUCUCUUGUUUGUAUGUUCCACAUUAUCCAUUCAUCAAUCAAUGGACACUUGGAUUGCCUUCACAUUUGAAGUAUUACAAAUGAUUCUGCUAUGAAUAUGAAUGUACAAACAUCUAUCUGAGUCCCUACUUUACACUAUUUAGGGUAUAUACCCAGAAAUGAAAUGACUAGAUCAUAUGGUAUCCCAUUUUUAAUUUUUUUGAGGACACGUCAUACUAUUUCACAUCAUAGCUGCACCAUUUUACAUUUCAACCAACAAUGUACAAGUGUUCAACAUUCUCAGCAUCUUCAAAAGCAUUUGUGAUUUUCUGGAAUUAAAAAAAAGAAAAACAGCCAUACUAGUGGAUGAGGUAGAAUUUCAUUGUUGUUUUCAUUUGCAUCACUUUAAUGAUUAGUGAUGUUGAGCAGCUUUUCAUAUGUUUAUUGUCCACUUGUAUAUCAUUCUUGGAGAAAUGUGUAUUUCAGCCCCACAUCUAUUUUUUAAUUUAGUUAUUUAUUUUGUUGUAGCUGUUAUUGCUGAGUUGUAAAAGUUCUCUACAUAUUUGAUGUAUUAACCUCUUUUCAGACGUAUAAUUUGCAAAUAUUUUAUUCUACUUUGUGUAUUGCAUUUUAAUACUGUUGAUUGCACACUUUUUUUCUCUGUAGAAGUUUUACUUUUGAUGGGUCAAUUUACCUACCUUUUUUGUUGUUGUUGUUGCUUGUGCUUUUGGUGUUAUGCCCAAUAAAUCAUUACCAAACCUAAUGUCAUGAAGUUUUCCUCUAUGAUUUUUUUUCUAAGAGUUUUGUUUUGUUUUGUUUUUGCUUUUACAUUUAGGUCUUGAAUCUAUUUUGAGUUAAUUUUUUGUAUAUAAAUAUAAAGUGAAAGUUUUAGUGUCAUUCUUUUCAUAUGGAUACUCAAUUUCCCCAACACAAUUUGUUAAGAAGACUGUCCUUUCCUCAUUAAAUAAUCUUGACACUGUUGUUGCAAAUCAGGUGACCAGAUAAAUGAUAUAAAUGAGGGUUAUUUCUGGGCUCUCUAUUUUAUUCCUUUCUCAUAUGUGUGUGUGUGUGUGUGUGUGUAUGUGUGUAUAUAUAUAUGUGUGUGUGUGUAUGUAUAUAUACACACAUACACAUAUGAAAUAUAUAUUUUAUAUAUUUUUAAAAUUUAAUUAUAUAUAUUUUUUUCUUUUUGAGAUGGAGUCUCGCUCUGUCACCCAGGCUGCAGUGGAACAAUCUUGGCUCACUGCAACCUCCACCUCCCACGUUCAAGCAAUUCUCCUGCCUCUCUCAAUACAGGUGCACAUCACCAACCCUGGCUAAUUUUUCUAUUUUUAUUAGAGACUUGGUUUCACCAUGUUGGCCAGGCUGGUUACGAACCCCUGACCUCAAGUGAUCUGCCCACCUCAUCUUCUCAAAGUGCUGGAAUUACAGGUGUGAGCCACCAUGUCCGGCCUGGUUUAUAUGUUUCUGCCAGGACCAUAAUACUUUAAUUACUGUAGCUUUGAAAUAAAUUUGAAAUCAGGACAUAUGAAGACCACAGCUUUUCUGAUAAUAAUAAAAAGGGAGGGGGCAAAAAUUAUUUGAAGAAAUAUUGAGAAAAUAAUUGCCAUUUUUUA